CAAAAAGAUAAAUUGCAGCCCUAGACAGAAUUCACUUCUACCCUACUCAUUUAAUAGUUUUCUUAAGACUGCUGAUAAAGUUGGUGCUAGGAUAGGAACGCACUUAAGCAAAAUAGGAAGGCCUGUCAUAUUCCAGUAUAUUUCUUUCAUGCUUUUGGAAACUCAUGUGCCCUGUGAAAGAGCUCUGCAACUCCUCGAUGUUGAGCUCAGGCAUGACGUCAUCCUCGCCGUAGCAACUGCAUUGUGUAGUGGCAACAUUGACUGCACUCCUCCCAGCUCCGACGGAAUUCUUGAAAAGGAUAACCGGCGGAGAGGAGACGAAGCAGAUCUGGUUGAAGCAGAGAAACUGGAGAACGACGUCGCAGAAGAAGCUGAUUGAGAAUUGAGCUUCAUGGCGGAUCUGAUAGAAGAAAGCGAAGCCUUGCUGAUAAUUCUGCUACACCUUGAAGCCAUUGUACGGAGAGUUUUGGGUGAAUAUCUCGGAGCUAUGGUG
RNAcentral lists this unclassified non-coding RNA (493 nucleotides) under Hevea brasiliensis (rubber tree). The record is from RNAcentral. Lineage: Eukaryota; Viridiplantae; Streptophyta; Magnoliopsida; Malpighiales; Euphorbiaceae.